GAUGUUCGCCCUGCUAAUUGCCGAGCUCCUCUUUUAGGAUUGGCUGCCCCUCCGCAUCCAUAAUGUAAUUAAAACAAGGGGGAAAAAAUUAUCAUGGAGGCAGAGGUUAAUGCAAGUGUUUAGCAGAUGCCUUACUGUAAAAUCUGCAUUAAAAAAAAAAAAACAAAAAACAAAAAAAACCCAAAAAACCAAACCAAAACAAAAAAACCAACCCAACCAAAAACCCAACAAAGUCAUUAAAACUUAAAUAUCGGAUAAUCUCAAAGCAGCCUGCUGCCUGCGCCUCCGCACCUCGGCCAGUGCUCGCCCGGAUGGCUUGCGCUCCUGAAGCCCGUGUCGCGCUUGUUUUAACUGGUCGGAUCGGAAAGUAACUGAAGAAGCCGGGCACUGGAGAAGCGAGUGUCAUGUCCCUCCUCGGACCUGCCGGGAAACGGGGCCGCGGCCAAAACGCUGGGUGUAAAUGCGACAACAAAAAUAAAUAUUUUAACAUCGCCGCGCA
Long non-coding RNA from Chroicocephalus ridibundus (black-headed gull), 499 nucleotides. RefSeq lists it as uncharacterized. NCBI's taxonomy places the organism in Eukaryota, Metazoa, Chordata, Aves, Charadriiformes, Laridae. The transcript has 3 exons. The record is from RefSeq and is a predicted model, not a curated record.